This 426-nucleotide ribosomal RNA is filed under the name uncultured bacterium. RNAcentral describes it as "partial 16S ribosomal RNA". It matches the Rfam family "Bacterial small subunit ribosomal RNA", at positions 354 to 796 of the family's 1533-position model. The record is from RNAcentral.
GUUAGGAAUCUUCCACAAUGGGGGCAACCCUGAUGGAGCAACACCGCGUGCUGGAUGAAGGCCUUCGGGUCGUAAACAGCUUUUGUAUACGAAGAAUAUGACGGUAAUAUACGAAUAAGGGUCGGCUAACUACGUGCCAGCAGCCGCGGUCAUACGUAGGACCCAAGCGUUAUCCGGAGUGACUGGGCGUAAAGAGUUGCGUAGGCGGCUUAUUAAGCGAGUAGUGAAAUCUGGUGGCUCAACCAUCAACACAUUGCUCGAACUGAUAGGCUUGAGAAUGGUAGAGGUAGUUGGAAUUUCUUGUGUAGGAGUGAAAUCCGUAGAUAUAAGAAGGAACACCAAUGGCGUAGGCAAUCCCCUGGGCCUGCACUGACGCUCAUGCACGAAAGCGUGGGGAGCAAACAGGAUUAGAAACCCUUGUAGUCC